CUGAUUGAUCAUUUAGUAUUUGGUUGGACCUUAAAUAGGGUUGAUAAAAAUUGUGGGCUCCUAGUGUUGUAUCUUAUGACCAUAUAAAAUUGAAAUGAUUUUUUGACCCUGAGUUAUAGGUUGGUGCAUAAGAUUCAUUUAUGUAGCUUUCAUUGAAUGUACUCUCCUGUAUUAACUCAAUUUGGGUUGGAUUCAUCAAAUAAGAACACU
This 210-nucleotide long non-coding RNA is filed under the name Elaeis guineensis (African oil palm). Its description in RNAcentral is "long non-coding RNA (EGUI_LNC016816)". Lineage: Eukaryota; Viridiplantae; Streptophyta; Magnoliopsida; Arecales; Arecaceae. The record is from RNAcentral.